CCUACGGGAGGCAGCAGUAGGGAAUAUUGCUCAAUGGGGGAAACCCUGAAGCAGCAACGCCGCGUGGAGGAUGAAGGUUUUCUGAUUGUAAACUCCUUUUGUUAGAGAAGAUAAUUACGGUAUCUAACGAAUAAGCCCCGGCUAACUCCGUGCCAGGAGCCGCGGUAAUACGGAGGGUGCAAGCGUUAGUCGGGAUCACUGGGCGGAAAGAGCGCGUAGGCGGGGUAGCAAGGCAGAUGUGAAAUCCUAUGGCUUAACCAUAGAACUGCAUUUGAAACUGUUAUUCUAGAGUAUGGGAGAGGUAGGUGGAAUUCUUGGUGUAGGGGUAAAAUCCGUAGAGAUCAAGAGGAAUACUCAUUGCGAAGGCGACCUGCUAGAACAUAACUGACGCUGAUGCGCGAAAGCGUGGGGAGCAAACAGGAUUAGAUACCCUUGUAGUC
Molecule: ribosomal RNA, 440 nt
Filed under: uncultured bacterium
Lineage: Bacteria
Description: partial 16S ribosomal RNA
Rfam family: Bacterial small subunit ribosomal RNA
Source: RNAcentral